Mizuhopecten yessoensis (Yesso scallop) is the source of this 653-nucleotide long non-coding RNA. RefSeq lists it as uncharacterized. Lineage: Eukaryota; Metazoa; Mollusca; Bivalvia; Pectinida; Pectinidae. The record is from RefSeq and is a predicted model, not a curated record. The transcript has 3 exons.
GGUAUAUGACGUGUAGGUGAUGUAGUAGGGUAUAUGUGAUAUAUGAAGUAAAGGUGAUGUAGGAGGAUAUAGGUGGAAAAUGAAGUUACAGUGACGUAGGAGGCUAAAGAAAGUAAAGGUGACGUAGGAGGGUAUAUGUGGUAUAGGAAGUAAAGGUGAUGUAGGAGGAUAUAGUUAUUUAAAGUGAUGUAGGAGGAUAUAGGUGGAAAAUGAAGUUACAGUGACGUAGGAGGCUAUAGAAAGUAAAGGUGACGCAGGAGGGUAUAUGUGGUAUAGGAAGUAAAGAUGAUGUAGAAGGAUAUAGUUAUUUAAAGUGAGGUAGGAGGGUAUAGAUGGUUAUAGCAAGUAUAUUUGAUGUAGGAGGGGAUAUGUGGUAUAGGAAGUGAAGGUGACGUAGAAGGGUUAUGAUGGUAUAGAAAGUAAAGGUGAUGUAGGAGGGUAUAGAAAGUAAAGGUGACGUAGGAUCGUAAAGAUGGUAUAGGAAGUAUAGGUUAUGUAGGAGGGUAUAGGUGGUAUAUGAAGUUAAGAUGAAGUAUGAAGGUAAAGAAAGUAAAUAUGACGAAGGAUGGCAUAGUUGGUGUAAGAGGGUAUAGAUGACCUAGGAGGGUACAGGUGGUAUAGGACGUAACAUUGAUGUAGGAGGAUAUAUGUGG